Molecule: non-coding RNA, 5500 nt
Organism: Sus scrofa (pig)
Lineage: Eukaryota; Metazoa; Chordata; Mammalia; Artiodactyla; Suidae
Source: RefSeq, a predicted model, not a curated record
CCCGCCCCUUGGCUCCGCCCCCGUUUCUCGCGUUCCAAAGCUGCCCGCGCUUUUCGCGCUUCGCCUCAGCGAGCGCUCGCUUCGAGAAGCAGCUUAGGGUAAAGGCACAGACACCUAAGCAGGCGUGAGAUCGUUGUGACGCCAGGAGGGAGACCCCAAAAGGCCGCAGUCGAAGGAAGCCCGAGUCCCGGCUGCUGUCGGCCUUCCCUGAGGGCUUUGGCUGGGCUCCUCGGGCCGCGCGCCAUCUGAGCGCAUCCCGCCUCACGGACCUUGUCCUGCCGCGCCGACCCGGUCACCCUGUUGCCAGAAUGAACUCAAGUGGGAAAAUGGCUCAGCAGGACCAGGCAUACAUAGCACAGACCACUUCUGUAGUUUCACUUGCCAUUGACCUCUAGAUAAUUCCACAGCUGUGGAGGACAGUUCUAUGGAAGCUCAGAUCACCUGGCAGCAUCUGACCUGAAGAGCAGCAGUACAGAGUUCCGUUCUGUGUUCUUCUCUCAGGACCUUUAUGAGCUUCCAGAGUCUGCUUGGCUCCUGCAGAACCCUCUUGGAAAUGUCGAGGUGUUGAUGUGCCUGAGGUCAGUCUCAACCAACAGAGGAUUGAAGCCUGUGGAUGAAUGCCCCAGCCCCUUGUCCUUCAGGAAAUCAGUGCUCUUGGUUUUUGGGAAUUUGGACUCAGAGUGGGACUUCCACCAUCACCCCGUGAUUAUCAGGCCUUUGGACUCUGACUGAACUACACCGCUGGUAAUCCUGGUUCUCCAGCUUGCAGAUGGCAGAUCAUGCAACUUCUCAGCCUCCACAACAAAUGGGCCCUGUAAAUUGUAGCUGGUCCUGGGGGCCAGUGCUGGCCUGAGGCAGCCGAAGUCCUUCCUGUAGCACACUGCCUCUUCCAUUGUCCAGCAUACUGUGAGUAUGUGUUUUCCUUUUUUGCUAUAUACUAUGGUCUGAAAGACGUCAGAAAGCAGUGCUCUAAAUUAAAACAUAUACGCUUGAGAAGUGGUCUUCAAGUGUGAUAGUUUUGAAUACCCACCACUGGAGAUAUCUGGCAAAGCCUAGAGACAUUUUUAGUUGUCAAGCCUGGGGAAAUGCUAUUAGCAUCUGGUCGGUUGAGGCCAGAGAUGGUGCUAAACAUUUUAUAAUGCUUAGGACAGCCUCCACCACAAAAAAUCAUCGGGCCCCAAAUCUCAACAGUGCUGAGGUAGGGAAACCCUGUGCUAGAGCCCAGCCACUCAAAGGUUACCCUUUCACGAACGGCCUCAGAAACACCCAGUAGCUGUUGGAAAUUUGGAACCUCAGGCUACACCCAGAUCCACUUGAGUCAUAAUUGGCCUUUUAACAAGAUCCUCAGGUGACUCACACACACAUCAAAGUUUGAGAAGCACUGGGCCAGAAUGAAACUUCUCUGGUUUAGGCUUAAAUGUCUGUGGGUUUAUGACUGGAGGGCUACCCUUGGAGCUGGAGAUCACAAAUUUGGAUCCAACAGGGAGCGUAUGGCCCGAAGGAGGAAAACCUGAAAACCAGCUCAGUACAGGGCAAUGGGUCUAGAAGGCAAAGCAGGAGAGGAAAUGGGGGAGGAGUCCCCAGGGGGAGCCACCAGUGGUUUCUCAGACAUGAGCACCUGAGGAGGGCUUGAAGCCCCUUGCAUGUGGCCAAGUGCGUGAGAUGGGCAGGGAGGUUUCUAAAGGAACCGCAACUGUGAACACACACGUUUCUGACCAUCAGAGGCUGGACUUGGGAUGUGGACAUGACCAGAGUCUGCCUGUAUUACUUGGCUGGGGUCCAUAACAAAGUACCAGGAGCUGCAUGGCUUAAACAACAGAAAUUUAUUUUCUUACAGUUCUGCAAGUUGAGAGUCCAAGAUCAAGGUGUCUUCAGGGUUGGUUUCUUCUGAGAGCUCUCUCCUGGGCUUGCGGAUGCCCUUUUUCUCCCUCUCAUCUUUACGUGGUGUUCCUUUGGGUUUGUGGCCUCAUCUCCUUUUCUUACAAGAAGACCAGUCAUAAUAGAUUAGGGACCACUCACGUGCUCGUUUUAACUUAAUUACCUCUUUAAAGACCUUAUCUCCAAAUGCAGUUGUACACUGAGUGUGGGGGGGUGGGGCCUUAACAUAAGACUUUGGGGAGGGGGACACAGUUCAAAUCACUGUCCUCUAGUUCCCAGAUCCUCUUCAACGUCAAAGUCUUCCGUUCAUCUCUCUUGGACUCUCUUAGCCUCCAACUUCGUUCCUUUUCGCUUAUGACCCUCCCCACUCAGAGUUGAGGUUCAAUAGCACCUGGGAAGUCCAGCACCCUGCUGAAUAUUCAACAUACGAACUCUAACCUCUUGAAAUACAAAGCGAAUUGUGAACCAGACUCAGCUCUUCCCUCCAGAAGGCAUUUCCUUCCCUUCGUAGGUACACCACAGCAUAUCUAGGGCCCCCAGGUUAACCAGGGCAGUUAUUAGUAAAUGGUUAGAGCAUGGUUGCCUCAAGGUUCUGAUAGAUAGGUCAAAGGAAUAUGAAUGCAAAUGCAGUUUUUAAAGCACACUGUAGCUAUUGUUGGGUAUAAUGGAAAGUCAUUAAGCAUAUUAGCUGCUGAUUUUAUAAUUAAGUGCUAACAUUUUCUGGAUGCUAACCUAAGUAACAGGAGAUAUUGGCCAUUUGCAAAACAUGUUUAAACAAAAAAGAUUCAGAGACAAGGAGUGCUUCUCAUCUUAAUUAUUUUUUUGCAUCAUAAAAACCUCAUGAACAAUGCUUUUGCAAAGCAUAAUGGAUGUGGAGCAGCUGCAGAAAACAUCUCACUUCUUUUGUUUGGAAACAAUGUUUUACAUUUGGAAAGAAAAAUUCUGUCCAGCUGAUUUUAUUCCAAGGAGAGAGCAAUUCUCUGCAAUCUAUCCAUGUCCAUCAAACACUGGUAAAAAUUUAGAGGAAAUGCUUUGAAAUUGUACUUGUUUUCUGUCAGUGCUGCCUCUUCAAGGUCUCUAGGUGGUGCUGAGUCUGCGGAGGACGGUGGACUAUUGAGCAUCACUAAUUGUCAAGGAUUAGACUUUUAUGCUUUCUUGAGCGGAGGGAUAACUUCUUGUUCUCUUCCCUUUUUUGGAGCAAUUCAUAGACCAUCAGCACCAGCCCAGACUCAUUUUUGCAGAUGACUAAAACAAAAUUAUGGAUCAUAUCAUAUCAGGAGAACUACUUCAGUGCUUAAGUUGAUCAUCAUACUUAGGCAGGCAAGACAUCUUACCUUUCCAUCUUCUUAGAUGUGACUCUAUGGCCAAUGAACUCUAUGGGCCUAUCAGUGGCCAAUAUAAGCGUGGAUGCUCUGAGUCACAGCAUUCCCACCUCUCUGAAUUGACCCCUUCAGAGGACAAGCCAUCUGUCUUUAACCUGUGUCAGUCAGCAAUUGCCAUGUAACAAAUCAUCUCAAAAUUUAGUGGCUGAAAUAACAACCAUAUGCUGCUUCUCGUAAGUAACUGGUGACUGGGUGGUUCUGCUGAUCUGGGUUGGGUGCAGUUGAUCUGGACUGGGCUUGCUAAUAUAUCUGUAGUCAAUUAGCAGGUCUACUUGAGGCCAGUUAGUCUAGCAUGAUCUUUAUUGGGAUAAGUUAGUUUUUCCCAAGUGUCUCUCCCAUCCCUCCUAUAGGUGAGCCUGAGCAUGUUCUCAUGGUGGUGGCAUGGGUCCAGGAGAGGAAACAGAAUUUCUCAGGUAUUUUAUCAGGCCUCUGGCUCCAUUAGCCAAAGCAAGUCACUGUCCACAGACUAGAUUCAAUUACCCCGAGUCUGACUGAGUCAGAUUGGCCUGAGUCAAAGUAACUGCUGUUGCUGUGCUCAGCUUCCGUCCCUGCCCCAGAGGGAUGAGAUCUUGCUCUUUGUGACUCCCCAACUCCAGACUGGGGUACUGGCAUGGAAAGAGUCACGAGACCAUGGUAACUGAGGGGAAGAGGCCGGAAUUGCAUCCUGGAGCAUGGUAGACAUGGGGAGGACUCAGUGCAUGUGGAAACAGAGCUGUGUUCCCAAGAUGACAACUUAGUUAAACUCAGUUUUACCGUUGCCCCACACCUCCCACCAGAAGGGCCCUUGGGUCUUACUCCAUGUUGGUAUUUGCCUCAAUUACACCUGAGUUCUUUCAGCUGCCUUAGUUGGUGCUAACAAAUAGCCUUGGGUAAACUGGAGAAAACCGAACUGUCAACCUACAGGUAUCUGAGCAAUAGCCUUGGCUCAAGAUAAUGAGCCCUUUGGUUACCUUCCUCUGUGUGAGGGAGGUUUUGGACUUCUUGGUCCACACGUUGAAUUUAAUCCAUUCACCCAGGGAGUGUUAGAUCUGGGAAGGCUGGGUAUGUGUUCUGCUUACUUGCUCAAUGUCUAUUUAUCCCUCAAAAUCUUACCUAGUUGUUCCCUUCUCUAUUAAGUCUUCCUUGAACAGGUACAAUUACCCAACCCCUUGUGUAUAACCCAUUGCACUUACACAAUAGACUUUUUAUUCAUCUUUCAUUCGUCUGUUUACCAAACAUAUAUUGAAUGCUUUCUAUGUACCAGGCACUGAGUAAACAACCUUAGAACAAAGGCAAGGUCCCCACUCUCAUGGAGCUUACAUUUGGAAGAGAGGGUUCCAUAAUGAAUAAAUAACCAAAUAAAUAUAUACUGUAUCAGAUGCUAAGAAAAACAGUAAGAUUGUGUAAGGGGACAGACAGUGAUGGUAUGUGUGUGGGGAGGGAGGGGGUCCAGGUUAGACUGUGGGUCAGGAAGCCCAUUCUCCAGGUUGCAUUUGAGCAGAGAUCUGAACCACGUGUGGGUGUGGGCUGCAUGGGCAUUUAGAGGAGAACUACCCAGGGAGAAGAAGGCUCAGCACAUGGUGCAGGCUUGGCUCUUUUGAAGAACAGCAAGGAAGCUGGUGGCAUUUGAAUGAAGAGGGAGAGAGUGGUAGAGCAUGAGAUCAGAGAACCAGCAGGGCUUCUUGCUGUGUCAGACCUUGUAGUCGAGGGAAACAACUUUUGAAUUUGUUCUAAGUGGGAUUGUAUGUGUGGGAGAUAGAAUAGUGGCCUCACGAGAUGACCAUGUCCUAACCCUUGGAACGUGUGGCUUGUUAUCCUUACAUGGUGAAGGAAAUUGCAGAUGUGAUUAAGCCAAGAAUCUUGAGAUGGAGAUUAUCCUGGGUUAUCAGUGCAGGUCCAGUGGAAUCACUAGGGCCCUUAUAAAAGGGAGGCUGGAAGAUCAGAUUCAGAGAAAGAGAUGGGAUGACAGAAGUAGAGACUGAGGUUGCAGGGCCAUGAGCCAAGGAAUGGAGGCAGCCUCUACAAGUUAGCAAAGGCAACGAAUAGAUCCCCUGAAACCUCCAGAAAGGAACAAAAUCUGUGGACACCUUAAUUUUAGGCCGUAAGACCCAUUUCAAACUUCUGACCUCCAGAACAAUGAGAUAAUCAAUUUGUGUCACUUCAAGUCACUAAGUUUGUGGUAGUAUUUUCCAACAGGAAGUCACUGGAGAGUUUUGAGGAGAAUUAAGAUAUGGAUGCCUUACAGUUAAAAAAAAAAAAAA